GUAUCGCGAUUCCAGAAGUCAUUGUCCUGCAGCGUUAUGACAGGAUGCCGGUCGGUGAAGUGAAGUUCACGCGGCGCAAUAUCUAUGAACAUUACGGGCACCGCUGCUGUUAUUGCGGCCAUAAAUACAGCACGCAUGAGCUGAACCUCGAACACGUUCUGCCCAAGUCCCGCGGCGGCAGAACGGAUUGGACCAAUAUCGUGACGGCCUGCAUUCCCUGCAACUUAAGGAAGGCCGAUAAGCUUCCCGACGAAGCCGGCAUGCGUCUUCUGCUCAAACCCUCCAAGCCCAAAUGGCGCGGAAGCGCCUCCCUCGUUCUGAAGGCCCCCUUUAAAAUGAAGGCCUCCUGGCAGCGGUU
RNAcentral lists this unclassified non-coding RNA (358 nucleotides) under uncultured bacterium. RNAcentral's name for it is "contains 16S-23S intergenic spacer region". The record is from RNAcentral.